CGCCUGGGGAGUACGGCCGCAAGGUUAAAACUCAAAUGAAUUGACGGGGACCCGCACAAGCGGUGGAGCAUGUGGUUUAAUUCGACGCAACGCGAAGAACCUUACCUGGCCUUGACAUCCAGAGAACUUUCCAGAGAUGGAUUGGUGCCUUCGGGAACUCUGAGACAGGUGCUGCAUGGCCGUCGUCAGCUCGUGUCGUGAGAUGUUGGGUUAAGUCCCGUAACGAGCGCAACCCCUAUCCCUGGUUGCUAGCAGGUAAUGCUGAGAACUCCAGGGAGACUGCCGGUGACAAACCGAAGGAAGGUGGGGAUGACGUCAGGUCAUCAUGGCCCUUACGGCCAGGGCUACACACGUGCUACAAUGGCGCGUACAGAGGGCUGCCAACUCGCGAGAGUGAGCCAAUCCCUUAAAACGCGUCGUAGUCCGGAUCGGAGUCUGCAACUCGACUCCGUGAAGUCGGAAUCGCUAGUAAUCGCGAAUCAGAAUGUCGCGGUGAAUACGUUCCCGGGCCUUGUACACACCGCCCGUCACACCAUGGGAGUGGAUUGCACCAGAAGUAGUUAGUCUAACCUUCGGGAGGACGAUUACCACGGUGUGGUUCAUGACUGGGGUGAAGUCGUAACAAGGUAACCGUA
This 635-nucleotide ribosomal RNA is filed under the name uncultured Marinobacter sp. Its description in RNAcentral is "bacterial SSU rRNA". It matches the Rfam family "Bacterial small subunit ribosomal RNA", at positions 870 to 1504 of the family's 1533-position model. Lineage: Bacteria; Pseudomonadati; Pseudomonadota; Gammaproteobacteria; Pseudomonadales; Marinobacteraceae. The record is from RNAcentral.